This 1402-nucleotide long non-coding RNA is filed under the name Fukomys damarensis (Damara mole-rat). RNAcentral's name for it is "lncRNA (ENSFDAG00000026750.1)". Lineage: Eukaryota; Metazoa; Chordata; Mammalia; Rodentia; Bathyergidae. The record is from RNAcentral.
UUUUUUUUUUUUUUUUUUUUUGAGUCAGGGUCUUGCUACCAUGUUUCCCUGGAAAUAAGACCCAGCUAGAAAAUAACCAGCCAUGGAAACCGGAGAUCACAGGCAUCCUUGCCAUACCUGCCGCCACCACUCUCUUGCUCAGUGGCUGCUCUGUAGGUUUCCUCCCGAUGGCAGAGAAAGGGACACAGCAAGAACACCUCAGAGCGCCCUGCAAACUGCGGAGUCAACACUGAAACGAUGUCUGCCCUCGGCCACCAGGGUGAGCCUCGUGCUGGGACACUGUGUACCUGUUGCUGCGUUGGGCCUUCUCUGCCCUCCUUCCCUGCCCCUUUCUCCAAGAGCCCAAGUCACCAUCGUGCCUGGCAACGUCCAACGUUUACCUUGACAGACACGUUUACUGACUGCAGAGGACCGUGACACUGGUGACGCCCAAGGCAGGCUGUGAAGAGUGAACCCCACAAUUGGCUUGUUUGAAGCGAGUCCAGCCGAAGACUGUGUGCCGAGGUCAGAGUAACUCGCACCCAAAUUCCGUUCCCACGACUAAAACCUUCUAACUAGAAGGGCAGUAUUCUAAUUACAGCCAUAUAUUCUGCUUAUUCUGCUCCUAAUUGGAGAAUGCUCUUCUGUCUUGGCCUUUAGGAGCCUUGUUUACAUUAAUUUCCACGGGAACUGCACAUAGCUGGCCUUAACCCUAAUUGAUUGCCAAUAAAAGUCAGUGCCUGGGACUUGGGCAGUUGCACGACAUUGGUCAUCCCAGCGCCCUGCUUUCUCUCUCCUACUUCUUCUGUCUCUUACUAUAUUUAUUUCUCAGGCCUGACAAGAAGCCAAAACCUAACUACAGAGGUCUCCGACAACUGAGCACUUAUCACAUGCAGGUCCUUCAUCCUUGUGUUGCUGUACAACACAAAAUUCAAGUGUGCCCAACUUUCUGGCAUUUCCUGUCUCCGCCCAGGCUGACUCCCACUAAACUACUUGCCCCAAGGGUUGCGGCUUAACCGAAUAAUCCAACUUCCGGUGUGAAAAUAAUUUAUAUUUUUCUUUUGACAGCUAUGCUUUCAGUACCCUUCUGUCAGGGCCGGGGUCCAGCUCAGAGAUACAACACUUGCCCAGCAUGUGAAAGACCCUGGGUUUGAUUCCCACACUGAAAAACAAAAAUUUUUCCAUUACACUGCAUGCCUUGGGGAGGUGUGUGUACCUGGUUAUUUCUUCCUUGUUGGCUGCCAAUUUUAUUAGAGGUGUAAUCCCCAAACCGCUAUAAUAACCUACUUGCACUUAAGAAUCCACCUGUCCAUACAUGAAUAUGACCAUAACAUGGAAUCUCUUCACCGCAGACUAAUUUAUGAUUGUCACAAACAAUGACCUGGCUGAACUGCUCUGGGCACUGUGAAAUGCUGCAUGAAAG